CCCACUCAGAGGUCCCAUUGAGGGAGCGUGGUGGCCCGUUAGGAACAUUUCAGUCAUGCAGAAUCAUCACCAGCCAGCAGCUCUGUCACUGGACCGGGGGUGUGAAUACCAGCGUACACCACUGUGACAAUGGCAGCUGCGUGCGUGUCAUCCUCACCGUGAACUGGAGUGACUGUGGGCUGCCGCCUGGCUCCAGGCCCGGGCUCCUCGCUCCCCUCCAUACUCAGGCCUGCACACUCCUGGAGCUUUCUCUCAGUCUGGGAGGCCACUUCUCUGACCCUAAUUCCCAUCUUCACACAAGAAGUUCCAGGCCAUAAGAAAUAAGCUGAAGUCUGAGCUCCUCUGCAACCUCAUCCACAAUACCUCAAUGUAUACUGCCCACAGAUAAGCAAUCCAGCUCUGAGACAUUUUUAAAGGGGCCGAGAUGCCUUCGCUAAAGUGGUCCAGGAAGAUGAACACAGAAAGCCAUCUUCUGCGUUAUUUGAGGAUUCAAUGGGAACAAGGAGGACCUUCCCCGCAGUCCUGAGAAGAGAUUCCACAUUCCCGAGCGCCUGCCUCCAGACUCUGAGCUCAGAGAUGAAAGUGGACAACAUUCACUCAGCAAAGACGUCCUGGGCGCCUCCUACGUGCCAGACACUGUUCUAAGAGGAUGGGGUGUGACCAAAGAGCCCUGCCCUGGACACGCUGACAGUGAGAGGGUGCUGGUCUGUCUUGAUGUGACGAGUAUGCGCCUGCCUUUGGCAAGCUGGCUCAUCUGCUGGCUGUCAAGACUUUACCUUUUCACAGAGCCAAAGCCAGCCUGGAGAGGCUUUCCCUCCAACUACCUUGGUAGGGAGAGUGAACCGUGGCCUGCCAGCCGGCCUCCAGAACCACAGCCAUCAGCACCACCACACCUCAGGUCCUGAAGUCACCUGUCUAGAAAAAACAAACACAUCUCAGGUGUCAGAGAAGCACUGCUUUCCUCUUUUCCGAAGCCACUGGGGGAUGGCGGGGAAGGGGUAGGACUGGCCUGCGGCUUUCCUUUCCUGAGGGAAAGGUUUGGAGGCUCUGCACUGCUACUACAAGGCCUCUGAGGUUUGGCUUCCUCCCCAGCAAGCUCCCAGCAAGGU
Molecule: long non-coding RNA, 1109 nt
Filed under: Canis lupus familiaris (dog)
Lineage: Eukaryota; Metazoa; Chordata; Mammalia; Carnivora; Canidae
Description: lncRNA (ENSCAFG00040007083.1)
Source: RNAcentral